Molecule: ribosomal RNA, 392 nt
Filed under: Thalassiosira sp.
Lineage: Eukaryota; Bacillariophyta; Thalassiosirophyceae; Thalassiosirales; Thalassiosiraceae
Description: partial small subunit ribosomal RNA
Rfam family: Eukaryotic small subunit ribosomal RNA
Source: RNAcentral
AUUCCAGCUCCAAUAGCGUAUAUUAAAGUUGUUGCAGUUAAAAAGCUCGUAGUUGGAUUUCUGGCAGGAGGAGCCGGUCACACACUCUGUGCGUGAACUCGUGCUGUCUCUGGCCAUCCUCGGGGAGAUCCUGUUUGGCAUUAAGUUGUCGGGCAGGGGAUACCCGUCGUUUACUGUGAAAAAAUUAGAGUGUUUAAAGCAGGCUUAUGCCGUUGAAUAUAUUAGCAUGGAAUAAUAAGAUAGGACUUCGGAACUAUUUUGUUGGUUUGCGUUACGAAGUAAUGAUUAAUAGGGACAGUUGGGGGUAUUCGUAUUUCGUUGUCAGAGGUGAAAUUCUUGGAUUUCCGAAAGACGAACUACUGCGAAAGCAUUUACCAAGGAUGUUUUCAUUA